GACGAACGCUGGUGGCGUGCUUAACACAUGCAAGUCGAACGGGAUUUAGUAAACAGCAGCCUCGGUGGAAGAUUACUAGUGAGAGUGGCGAACAGGUGAGUAACGCGUGAGCAACCUUCCUAUGACAGAGGGAUAGCCUCGUGAUACCAGGAUUAAUCCCGCAUAAACUCGUAGAAACACAUGUUUUAACGGUCACGGAUUUAUCGGUCAUAGAUGUGCUCGCGACUGAUUAGCUAGUUGGUGAGAUAACAGCCCACCAAGGCGACGAUCAGUAGCCGGUCUGAGAGGAUGAACAGCCACACUGGAACUGAGACACGGUCCAAACUCCUACGGGAAGCAGCAGUGGGGAAUAUUGCACAAUGGGGGAAAGCCUGAUGCAGCGACGCCGCGUGAACGAAGAAGGUAUUCGUAUUGUAAAGUUCUGUCCUAAGGGAAGAUAAUGACAGUACCAUAGGAGAAAGCUCCGGCUAAAUACGUG
Molecule: ribosomal RNA, 478 nt
Filed under: uncultured bacterium
Lineage: Bacteria
Description: partial 16S ribosomal RNA
Rfam family: Bacterial small subunit ribosomal RNA
Source: RNAcentral